AAUUUCGACGUGUGCUGGCUCGAAGAUCGGAACUGACAUGACGGAGUGUUCUACACGGACUCCUUAAAGCGCUACACGCACACUGUUACCUGCAGCAGAAAGAUCAGCAGCAGCGUGAAUUGUAAACUUCGGACGUGAGAGAUAACAGCUGCAGCCCUGCAAGGACUAGGCUACUGCAAAGGGGCGAAGUAUAGACCUACUGUAGACUAUCAUCAUGGAAAGAAGCAAGAAGGACAUUAUGUCCUUUUUUGCCCCUGUUGGCAAAAAGCAACAUAGAGAGAGUAAGGAAGAUGAAGCUUAUGAAAGAGGAGAGCGAGCCAGAGGUGGAGAGAGAGCCAGAGGUGGUGGUUGGAGAGGUGGAAAGUGAGGCAUCUGAAAGGCAAUCUGAGAGUGAGGAUGAAGACAUUCAGGAUCAGAUUGAGGGACAGAAUGAGGGACAACCCAACGAGUCAUUGGGACAACCAGAUUCACCAUGCAUAUCAAGUACAGCACCAUCAGAUAUCAGCAAGUGCUUGGACGACACUCCAGUGCAGCCACAUCUGAAGAAAAGAUUCAUUGUAUGCAAAAAUAGAAAUCUUAUUUUACAAAAAAGAGAAACAUGGUUUUAAGAUUUAUUGAGCACAAUUUAUUUUAUGUUUAGGCUAUUGAGACAGAAUGUUUCUCUCAUUGUAUUUAUGCUCAAUGUAUUUUGUUUUGGUUUUAAAUAAACUAAACUAAACAUUUUGAACGCUUAAAUAUUGCCAUGUUUUGUCCUUAUGUGCCCCCCUGAAAAAACACUGGCCCCACCUCGGCCCCCCUAGUAAUUUUGGUCUAGAACCACCACUGACUGUGACCCUGUGAUGUGCAGCUGCACUACUGUCAGAGCUGCUGUAAGAGAAAAUUAAUCAACACCUUCUGACCAAUUAGGAUGCAGAAGUUUUCAUGAGUUUCAUGAAUUUAUUUCUCUGUUAUUUACUCCACCAGUGCUGAUUAGAGAAACACUCAGACACACACACACACACACACUGCACUAAUAAUCUCCUUCAUAUCCUGUUGUCCGAGAUUGUGAGCUGAUGGCAGGGAGAGAUGAAGCUCCGCUGCAGCGACACCAGACUCCAUCGUGCUUUAUUUCCUCCGUGAUAAACGCAGUAAUGUGCGGGAUGUGCUUCGACGCAGCUGGAAGCGGCUUUACUGCUCAGCUCAGCAGGAUCCGCUCGGCUCUCUGACAGCGUGCGAGGAGAAACUUCAAAGUUUUAUGGCAAUAUUUCAAGAAAAGCAGCACAGAGAAGAACUAUAAAUCAUGACCGUGAGAUUCGAGUGCAAAGUUCGUGCACUUUUCCAACUGGAGGAACUUUCUGAACAUCUCUCCUGACUCUUUUCAGCGACUUUAUUCUUUCAUACAGGAGCAAAUUGUUGCGCUUUCUGCUGCACAGCGUCCAGAGCGGACUGUGAACAGACUGCAGGACACAGAGGCAGAAGGGUUUAUUUAUGAAGAGGAUGAAAAUUAUACCGAGUUAUAUUAGUUUUCUGAAAUCAACAAACAUGACGUUUUCUAUCAGGAUUUUAUGUGAAGCUUCGAUGUGUGGUUGCUGAAUGGAACAGUGGAGAUGAGAAGCAGAAUUUAGACCACAAGUCCUCUCUUUCAACCAUGUCUCAUCACUUUUGGCCACGUGUCCUCUCUUUCGACCCUGUGCCCUCUCUUUCGACCCUGUGCCCUCUCUUUCGACCCUGUGCCCUCUCUUUUGGCCAUGUCUCCUCUCUUUAGACCCUGUAUCUUCUCUUUCAACCCUGUGUCCUCUCUUUCAACCAUGUCUUCUCUCUUUCAACCCUGUGUCCUCUCUUUCGACCCUGUGUCCUCUCUUUCGACCCUGUGUCCUCUCUUUCGACCA
Long non-coding RNA from Neoarius graeffei (lesser salmon catfish), 1868 nucleotides. RefSeq lists it as uncharacterized. The transcript is spliced from 3 exons. Lineage: Eukaryota; Metazoa; Chordata; Actinopteri; Siluriformes; Ariidae. The record is from RefSeq and is a predicted model, not a curated record.